AUGCAGCUGCUCUCGGCGGCCUGCCGUGCCCUCUCCCUUGUCCUCGUAGUGCUGCUCCUCUCAGCCACCGGCGCCGCACCGGUCGAUGGCGACACGGCGUCCAGCAGCAACGCGGCGGCGUUGACGGCGGCGGGCGGCGUCAACUCCUCAUCGCCCGCGUCGGCGGUCGACGAGACCAUAGAGACGUACCUCUGCCACAUCUGCCUCGGCCGCGACCUGUUGAACAGGAGGGUCUGCCCCACCUACUGGCCCGACUGCCACGCCCUCUGCGACCCGCACCCGCCGCCCGCCGGGCCUCCUGCAUUGCCGGCCGCCCCCAACCGCGAUGAUCCGUGCUACGUCGUGAAGAUAUACAACAACGGCACCCACGCCGUCGUCCAGUACCUGGACUGCAGGCUGACCCGCUGGUGCUCCCUCACGUGUGGCGGAGGCGACGACGUGAGAGCCUUGGGUGCUGCUGCGACCUCCCCCGCGCCAGCAGCUCCGUCGUCCCUUCAGGGCAUGCCGCCGCCGCGCGUCGCCGAAAGGCGGGUGUGCAACUCGCAGGUCGCGGCUCGGGGCCGACCUGUCCCCGGUGGCGCGCGCGCACGCUCUCGGCUCGGAUGA
Molecule: ribosomal RNA, 606 nt
Filed under: Triticum aestivum (bread wheat)
Lineage: Eukaryota; Viridiplantae; Streptophyta; Magnoliopsida; Poales; Poaceae
Description: partial small subunit ribosomal RNA
Source: RNAcentral